UUUACAUUGCAUUUAGCACUCUCUAAGUGUUAGCAGUUAUUACAGAGCCAUUUCCUAGUUUCCUGUGUUCUGUCUGGUUUUCUAAGUUUUGUAUUCUCGCCUAUUUAUCUCGUCUAGUCUGUUUCGCUGCCUGCUCUGGAUCUCUCACAUGUCUAUUGGAUUACCCUUUUGCCUAGCCCCCUGAAUUAUGUUGGCUGUUGAUCGACCCUUGCCUGUCUUGGAUUACUCUUGUGUCUUGUCCUCAUAUACCUGUUUGCCGAUGUUCAACCCUGCCUGCUGUUUUGACUAUGUCUUCAUUCGAAAAGCUUUGCGCAUGGAUCCGCCCGCUUCACGCGUCAGUCACUCCGUUACACAUGAACGCACUUCCAUUUAGCAAAUUCCUCUCUGAUUUUGGUGAACACCCUCAUCUUUGAGUUUCUUAGAUCCUCUUCUGCUCUCUUCACUCCUUCAAGGGCAUCAUUGAACUGGCGAAUUUUCUGCAGAGCGCAAAAGUCUCAUCAGGUUAUGAGACUGAAGGAAAAGGAACUCCAUCUCCCAGUGCUCUGAAAUCCUCAGACGUCUUGUCUAAUUUCAUCUCAAGUUGUUUCUGCAACUGUGGCAGCGUUUUCUAGUGGCAACUCUGGCAAUGCCUGGCAGGUCGAUGAGAGUGAGGUCAGGAACAUCACUAGACUGGAUCUCCAGAGUGAUCAUCUCAUGACUGAUCCCUUCACCCUUUCCAGCCAAUACUAUCUGAGCUACAAAACAAUACAAUGUUAUAAUCAUCCCAUCAAUGACAAACAAUUAACUCAACUAUUCUAAAGACACUCGAGGCAUUGAAGUUCUCAAUAAGCUGUAUAUUAAUCUGACCAUUAAAAUACAGACCAUUUAA
Molecule: long non-coding RNA, 868 nt
Organism: Labeo rohita (rohu)
Lineage: Eukaryota; Metazoa; Chordata; Actinopteri; Cypriniformes; Cyprinidae
Exons: 4
Source: RefSeq, a predicted model, not a curated record